CUUGGUCAUUUAGAGGAAGUAAAAGUCGUAACAAGGUUUCCGUAGGUGAACCUGCGGAAGGAUCAUUACAAAAAAAACAGAUUUUAUCAAAGAUGGGAAACCAUUUGAUAAGAUCCAUUUAUUUUUCAAACCUGUGUUGAUCAUAUUGGUUGCUCUGGUUGGUUAAAGAUCUAGUUUCUUUUGGAGACAAGUUCUUAAGCCUUCACCAGAUGACUUUUCAAAACUCCCAUGUCAUAUUGUCUGAGGUACAUGUUGAUGAAAUUACACCGGAAGAAACUCUCUUGCGCUGUAUUUUAUCAAUGUGGUGCACACCGCACCAAUUAUUAAAACUUUCAACAAUGGAUCUCUUGGUUCUGGCAUCGAUGAAGAACGCAGCGAAAUGCGAUAAGUAAUGUGAAUUGCGGAAAAUUGUGAAUCAUCGAAUCUUUGAACGCACAUUGCGCUCCCUGGUAUUCCGGGGAGCAUGCCUGUUUGAGCGUCAUAUCUCCCUUCAAGCGUAGCUUGGUGUUGGGCCUUGCAUCCGAAAGGGUGGGCUUCAAAGAUAGUGGCGGGAAUGUAAUGCCCCCAGCCGUAGUAGUGACUUUCUUGGCUGGGUGGUCAUACAAAUCUCCGACAAAAUGCCGUGCAGCAGCUCUGCAUCAAUAGUUUGACCUCAAAUCAGGUAGGGAUACCCGCUGAACUUAAGCAUAUCAAUAAGCGGAGGAA
RNAcentral lists this ribosomal RNA (705 nucleotides) under uncultured fungus. RNAcentral's name for it is "eukaryotic LSU rRNA". The stretch from base 328 to 481 matches the Rfam family "5.8S ribosomal RNA". The record is from RNAcentral. Lineage: Eukaryota; Fungi.